CACCGCUCGUCGCUACUACCGAUUAAAUGAUUUAGUGAAGUCUUCGGACUGACUCUCGAAGCGGCUAUCGGGUCGCAUUGGCGUGUCGGAAAGAUGACCAAACUUGACCAUUUAGAGGAAGUAAAAGUCGUAACAAGGUUUCCGUAGGUGAACCUAUGGAAG
This 162-nucleotide non-coding RNA is filed under the name Stegodyphus mimosarum. RNAcentral's name for it is "eukaryotic small subunit ribosomal RNA". It matches the Rfam family "Eukaryotic small subunit ribosomal RNA", at positions 1667 to 1823 of the family's 1831-position model. Lineage: Eukaryota; Metazoa; Arthropoda; Arachnida; Araneae; Eresidae. The record is from Rfam by way of RNAcentral.